GUAGGUGGCAAGCGUUGUCCGGAAUUAUGGGCGUAAAGCGCGCGCAGGUGGGUUCUUUAAGUCUGAUGUGAAAGCCCCCGGGCUCAACCGGGGAGGGUCAUUGGAAACUGGGGAACUUGAGUGCAGGAGAGGAAAGUGGAAUUCCACGUGUAGCGGUGAAAUGCGUAGAUAUGUGGAGGAACGCCAGUGGCGAAGGCGACUUUCUGGCCUGUAACUGACACUGAGGCGCGAAAGCGUGGGGAGCAAACAGGAUUAGAUACCCUGGUAGUCCACGCCGUAAACGAUGAGUGCUAAGUGUUGGGGGGUUUCCGCCCCUCAGUGCUGCAGCUAACGCAUUAAGCACUCCGCCUGGGGAGUACGGUCGCAAGACUG
Molecule: ribosomal RNA, 372 nt
Filed under: uncultured organism
Description: partial 16S ribosomal RNA
Rfam family: Bacterial small subunit ribosomal RNA
Source: RNAcentral